Molecule: ribosomal RNA, 523 nt
Filed under: uncultured soil bacterium
Lineage: Bacteria
Description: bacterial SSU rRNA
Rfam family: Bacterial small subunit ribosomal RNA
Source: RNAcentral
AGAUUGAACGCUGGCGGCAGGCCUAACACAUGCAAGUCGAGCGGCAGCACGGGUACUUGUACCUGGUGGCGAGCGGCGGACGGGUGAGUAAUGCCUAGGAAUCUGCCUGAUAGUGGGGGGAUAACGUUCGGAAACGGACGCUAAUACCGCAUACGUCCUACGGGAGAAAGUGGGGGAUCUUCGGACCUCACGCUAUCAGAUGAGCCUAGGUCGGAUUAGCUAGUUGGUAGGGUAAAGGCCUACCAAGGCUACGAUCCGUAACUGGUCUGAGAGGAUGAUCAGUCACACUGGAACUGAGACACGGUCCAGACUCCUACGGGAGGCAGCAGUGGGGAAUAUUGGACAAUGGGCGAAAGCCUGAUCCAGCCAUGCCGCGUGUGUGAAGAAGGUCUUCGGAUUGAAAGCUACGUUUAAGUUGGGAGGAAGGCUAAGUUAACCUAAAUUACCGGUUAGUUGUUUUAGAACGUUUACCGAAUAGUAAUAAGCACCGGCUAACGUCUGUCGCCAGUCCAGCCGAGUUAAC